ACCGUGCGCUGGAUUAUG
This 18-nucleotide small nuclear RNA is filed under the name Arabidopsis thaliana (thale cress). RNAcentral describes it as "snRNA_04639". Lineage: Eukaryota; Viridiplantae; Streptophyta; Magnoliopsida; Brassicales; Brassicaceae. The record is from RNAcentral.